RNAcentral lists this ribosomal RNA (482 nucleotides) under uncultured soil bacterium. RNAcentral's name for it is "bacterial SSU rRNA". It matches the Rfam family "Bacterial small subunit ribosomal RNA", at positions 26 to 514 of the family's 1533-position model. The record is from RNAcentral.
AGAUUGAACGCUGGCGGCAUGCCUUACACAUGCAAGUCGAACGCGAAAGGGGGGCAACCCCCGAGUAGAGUGGCGAACGGGUGAGUAAUACAUCGGAACGUAUCCAGUAGCGGGGGAUAACCUCUCGAAAGAGAGGCUAAUACCGCAUACGACCUACGGGUGAAAGAGGGGGAUCGCAAGACCUCUCACUAUUGGAGCGGCCGAUGUCGGAUUAGCUAGUUGGCGGGGUAAAAGCCCACCAAGGCUACGAUCCGUAGCUGGUCUGAGAGGACGACCAGCCACACUGGAACUGAGACACGGUCCAGACUCCUACGGGAGCAGCAGUGGGGAAUUUGGACAAUGGGCGCAAGCCUGAUCCAGCCAUGCCGCGUGAGUGAAGAAGGCCUUCGGGUUGUAAGCUCUUUCGGCGGGACGAAAGGUCGUAGUCAACACACUAGAUCAUGACGUACCGCAGAAGAAGCACCGCUAACACGCGCUAGCAG